Herpailurus yagouaroundi (jaguarundi) is the source of this 5756-nucleotide long non-coding RNA. RefSeq lists it as uncharacterized. Lineage: Eukaryota; Metazoa; Chordata; Mammalia; Carnivora; Felidae. The record is from RefSeq and is a predicted model, not a curated record. The transcript has 3 exons.
UCCCUUCAUUAUUCAAACGAAGAAAGUGAGGCCCAGAGGGGACGUGUUGGAGAAGAUCCUUGAAUUCGGCCAAAGGAAGUCUGAUUCUGACCCAAAUCAGUUCCCCUCUUCGGGUUUUAGUUUCCUCACCUAGACACAUAAGUACCUAAAGAUGACAACAAUAGCCCAUGUUUAUUGACCCCUAGGAUGUGAGGUCUUAAGUGUUAUGCGUUUUCCAUGGGCCAUCCCAUUUAAGAUUCAAUAACUUUAUGAGCUAUAAUUAUUCCCAUGAGAACACUAAGGCAAGGGAGGUUAAAUAAGUUGGCUGAGGUCCUUCAGUGGCAAAGGCAGAAUUUGAACCUUGGCGGUCCCUCUCCAGGGCCCGGGCACUCAGUCACCACUCGCAUGAGGACGGGAUCCAGAUGGGUCAGCUGGGAAGCGGGGGCUCAGCCCCACUGACCCCUGGGCCAGUGUUCAUGCCACUGGGUCAGGCUGUGUACUCAGCCAGGGCAGUGCGGGUCUUAGGUUGUCUGGAGGCUGCUGGGGUCCUCUGUACUCAGGGCUGUGACCAUGAUACUCGGCACACACCCUGGAGCAGGGAGCUUUGGGCCAGAGCGGGGCUUCCAGAAGGAGACUUGGAAAGGCCGAGGAGAGCUUUUAGGUUUGUCAUGAGGGAAUCCAGGAAGUGUAAGGGUUCUUGAUCGGGGCCAUGACUGUACAAUAUUAUAGAGAAGCCUCUCCCUGCUCCCUCCCCGCCCCCAGGUGGCGUGCCCACUUAGGAAGUCCUCUAGUAGGCGGCUCAGUCCACAAAGCCAUGCAGUGACACCCCCUCCCUCACCCAGUGUGUCCCUUCCACCCUGGUUAUUCCAGCUUCUUUCUUCUCAGAGGCUUUACUGCUAGAACUAGAUGUUGGAUGUGGCUUCCUCCUCAGAAGACAAUUUAUGGCGACAUGUCGGAGACUCUGUUUUAAUGAAGUUGCAAAAGUAGGUUAAUGGGCUGUGGGUGUUUUUCAUUCCCUUCCCCCUGCCCCUUCUCCACCCCUGGGCAGAUGAAUGAUGCCUCUCCCAGCACGACUCAGAGUCGGGCUGAGGAUCUUGGGCCUGGACGUGUAUGCUCACAUAUCUCUUCCUUGGCCUCCACUGGAGCCCUCAGUACCCUCCUCCCUGCUGCUGGCAAGGUGCUCAGCACAUCUAGCCCCCAUCCCUCCUGCUGUAACUACGGCCUGAAGAUGCUCCAAAGUCUGCCCAGCGGGAAAGAGCAUGGCAUAUUUGAGAGGCAGGAACCAGGGCAAGGGCUGGGGCAGGGCUUGGGACCCUGGGGAAGAAGGCAGCCAGAAUUAUGGCUAAUGGAUUUCUUUUGGAUGAGAGAGGCCUGGAGAUGGGAGCUUAGCUGGCAUGGACCUGGGGAAUUCUGCAAGCUGACGCUGAUAUUUUGGGGGAGGAGCUGAGUUUCUGAGGACCUCCCCCAUUGUUGUUCCUCCUUCUCUAAUUCAUUUCUGUGUCUCCUAGGGCCAUGCCUGAUACAUGGCUGCCCUUGCAAAUAGUCGCCGAGUGAAUGAUGGACACAAGAGUGAGUGGGCCUUUUUUCCCGGUCCCCAGUCUCUGGGGCUGGAACUCAUCCCCAUUCUUGCUCCCUUCCCACCUGUCUUCCCAGUGCUUGCCCCACACUGCCACCUCUGAGGACAUUUUCCAUGACUAAACUGCAAGAGUAAUUCUCCAUUUAUUUGUCUGGGUCCAACAUGAGGGUCUGUCAUCCUGGAAGAGUGGGGUCUCCAGGGGGAAGGGUCUAUCUCUUUUCCCUCCAGAUUCUCCCCUAAGUGAUCCCCACGUAGGGCUCUAAGAUUGGGGUUGGGGCCCAGAGCCUGGCUGUACUUGAAGGCACACAUCCAGGAGGACCAUCCUGCUGUCUAGGCCCCUCUCUCCAGUCCUUCCUCCCUAUAGAAAGCCGAGAGCACUCAUAGUCUCUGGCCUGUAGUCACUUCCAGGGGAGAAGGACCCUUCUCCACUCCCAGCCCCCUCCUGUCAACAAAUGAGGUUAUUGGUCAGGGUUUGGGAAUACCAGGAUGGGGUAUAGCAGGCCUCACUUCCCUGCAACGUCAGACCAUCCCCCUUUUCUGGGAGCCUGGACCUCCUCUGUCCUCUCCACCCUUUGGCUUUCUUUUAUAGACUUAGCUCUCUCCCCUCCCUGGGCCUGGGAAGGAUCACAGGUUUGUGGCCCUUUAGACUAACGUUGUAGACAUCCUGAGAAGCUCUACCAUGAUGCCCAGAAAGGCCCACCAUAAUCCCCAGCCCAAUUCUUUUUUUCUUUUUCUUUUUUUCCCGACCCAGGUAGGACAUUCUUCUCGAAGACUCCAAAGACCUCACUGGACCUUGCUCCAUACUCAGUUUUGCUGUGGCAGAGGGAAGGGCAGCUACCCCUCCUGUGCCCGUGAUGUCAUGCUGAUGUGUGGAACGGGCACCGGCUCUGGCAUCGGUCCCCGGCACUGACUACCUGCGUGCACCUCUGUGAACCUCAGGUUUCGUGUCUGCAGUGCGGUGACAGUCGUAUCUCCAUGGCAGGGUGUUGUCAGGAUGAGAGAUAAUUAGGGUAGGAUCUUGAGGGGUCAUGUCAGCUGCCCCCCCGUCUUCACGAAGACAGGAAACUUACCCCACCCCUGGCUCAGCAGCAUGGAGGUUCACCGCCUUCCGAGAAGAGAGGCCUCCAAGUCUGAUGAUACUGCUACACGGCAUGGACAACCCAUACGCAGGGAUGUUCUUUCCUCUGUCUAGUUUGUCCGUCUGAGAUCCACGUAGGAUCAUGUGUCUGAGCAGGAGCGAAGGUAAGGUGAUGGGGGUUUUGUACGAGCACGGGAAUCUCCAGUAUCUGUGACAUGCUCCCCCGUGGGUUAGUGUGGUAUAUGAAACGCAAGACCAGCGAAAUGGCCCUCCUUUGCCCCAUCCACCCCAGUGGAGUCCACCCAAGCACACAGUGGGUGCCCCGUGCCGAUGGCUUGCUGGCCAUAAUCUUGUUUAUGAGCUCCAGUGAGUCUAAUGGCCUUCCGUGCAUCCCAGAGAGGUGUCCCAUGGAAUGACCCAGUGGGUCUGAUUGUGGCCCUCUAGCCUAGCAGGGUUUGCAGGGAACACUAAGGAAACGUCUCUCUCUUCUGCCCUCCUACCCAAACUUCUUAGCCCAGUCCUGGGGGGCCAGCUUGCGUGAACGACUCUGUAUUGGCAAUAACGGGGCUGGUGAGGAGGAGGACGAGCGGCAGGUGGGAUGGAGCCUUCCAUAGCACCGAGGUGGAACCCUCGCGUUUGGGGGGGAAGCCCUCAUGUUUACAUGCAUGAAUGAGAGAUCAGGAGGCGUUCCUUCCCAUGAUGGCCCUUCCCCUGUCAGGUUCUUCAGGUCAUUCUGGGAGUGAUGAUUCUGGGAAAGGGCCGGGGGCCCACUAGCCCCUCAGGAGAAGAUGGGGUCUGGUUCCUCUGGUCCCAUCUCAGUUUCUCCAUCCACAGCACCAGUGAGGGUUGGGGACAAGUCUACCUCUAGAGUAGGGAGUCUGGGUCAGACUCUAGUAAGCCUGCAGGGGGGAUGACUUGGGCAUGAGUGAAAGGGUUUAGGGAGGGAGAAGUCACAGGGGAGGGGAUGAGCCUCACUUAGAUUCCACAGUAAUGAGGAGCAGGAGAGGCAGAGGAGAGGAGGUGGGGAAGAAGCGUCUUCAGAUGCCCUAGGCAGAACUGGUGGCCCACACUGCCAUUCCCUCUGAGAGACCCAGGACACUUGGUUGAGCGUCUAAUCACCCCCCCUCCCUGGCCCAGAUCAGACCAGACCAAGUAGAGAAUCCCACUGCAUGAGCUCCCCUAGCCCAUGAUUUCCCAGCACCUCUUCCCCUUGUCACUGGUCCCCUCAGGGAGCCGCUGUGAGUGCACACAGAACAUGUGGGGCUCUUCCAGCUGCUAUCCAGCUGUGAGGACCCCUGAGCAUGCCCCUGCCACCUCCCAGUGGGAGAGAAGACUCUAAUUCUAGUCCGAAAGCUGAGAAGGGUAGCGGGGAAGAGGGGCCGGAGGAGGCCAUGGGGAAGCUAACCAUGUACCCCAGUUGUGUGGACAUAUGUGUGGGAGGGGAGGGGCUUGCAGGUGUCGAGGCCCAGCUUAAGAAGGAUGGAGUGUUUCCUAGUUCUCUGAGCUAGAGACAUAUGGGGUAUAUAACACCAAGAAAAUGAAAAUUAUUGCCUAAGAGAGAGAGAGAGGGUGUGGGGGAACAAGAAAAAAUCCAAGCCAGGGAGACCAAUGCCAUCCACCCCCGUCACCAUCAUGACCUGACUAUCUGUGCUUGACGAAGUCAAAGUCUGAGGGAAGGGGGAGCUUGAGAACUGACCCUCAGGGCCUCCCGCAGGGGGGAAGCUAAUCCCCCAAAUGUGCAUUUCCCUGCUGUUACACAGAGCGGGGGAGCUGGGAACAGCGCUCAAAUUCUCCAGGUGGGACAGCUGCUGGGGCUUUUCCGCUUUCCUUCCCUGUGCCCUCCCUUUUCUCUGGGCUGUUGGGGGAACCAGCGAGCUCUUCUCCCACUGGCCUGUCUCCCUUGGGUCUCCCCAGGACUGGGCCCUCCUUGUCCUCUCAGUGGGUCCCACCCUGUCUUGUCUCCCCCAGACCUCUUCGUGCAAAAAGCUUCCCAUAUUUUGUCGCUCCCCACACAAUCCCCUCCUUUGAAAAUAGUCCACUUACCCAAACUUGUGGCCAAAGGGGGUCCUUUAGGAUCCACUUGUAGGCUGGUGCCUUCGUCCAGCAGGGCCUGGAGUUUCGUUCGUCUGUCCAGCCUCCUUCACUCAACAGCCAUAUGCCCAAUGUGGGCCAUGACCUCUACGACGCAGGCAAGGAUUCUAGAAGCGUUUCUGUGCUCACGGGCACAGCUCCAGGAGCAGCCUGACUUUUAAUGGAGUUGGCAGUCCUUGUUCUGAUUCCAGGAGAGAGAAGUGUCUAGAAGGAUGCCAGUGGGCUUGGGUGUGACUGAUGCCGUUUCCUUAGGGGAGGCCACCUCCUGUGAGGUCACCCUGUGAUAGUGGUGACUGAGGCUGGACAGCAGGAGGAACUUCUAAAGACUCAAAGUUGAAGGAAAGAUUUCCAGGUUUCAGUGAAGCUUUUGGGAAAGGACGAUGUUAACCUUUUCAGGCUCUGUGGGAGCAGAGGGGUCUGUGUGUCUGGAAGGGUUUACUUCGACCCAGGUAGGACUGACCCCAAAGAGGGAUGGCCACUUCCUCUUUCCAGAACCCUGACUCAUCCACACUCAGGGCAAUCCCACUCACAGUUUCUUAGAUGAUUGUUUGUUCCUUGGCCAGAAAUCUGGUUCUUGAACUCUGUCUCCUAUUCUUCUCAUGACCUGGGAACAAACCGUCUUUGGGAACCAAAUGUAGCUUCAACUUAUGGAGCCAAAAGAACAGAGAGGCAGGGUCAUUUCUAGACAGUGACACUGCAAACCUACAAGGAGCUAGGAAUGUCCCCUUAUGGGAAUGCCAUCUUCUCUUUUUUACAUGGGAAGGGAAAGGAUGUGACCCUGGGGGGAAAGGGCACAGUUGGUGAGAGCAGAGAGUGAUACCAGCUAAAGAACACCCCGCCCCCGACCUCCGCCCAGCCAGCCCGGAUCCAAACGUGCACAUGAUGGAAAUGUCUUCACAGCCAAGGGCCCCUCCUUCCCAAGGAGAAAAUCCCACAAGUGGGGAACAUCUGGAUCAAACCACAGCCAUGAAAGCACAACAUCAAACAAGGGUUUCCCAGCGACCCUCCCCGCAGGCCCUGCUCCAAGAGAAA